RNAcentral lists this transfer RNA (56 nucleotides) under Pristionchus pacificus. RNAcentral describes it as "tRNA-Arg". Lineage: Eukaryota; Metazoa; Nematoda; Chromadorea; Rhabditida; Neodiplogasteridae. The record is from RNAcentral.
AGAUGUGAAAUAGAUAUUACUAUAUUUAGCUACGGACUAAAAUGAUUUAACAUCUU